GGAAAGGUGUCCGAGUGGUUUAUGGUGACGGUCUUGAAAACCGUUGCACAGAGAUGUGCCGUAGGUUCGAAUCCUAUCCUUUCCGCCA
RNAcentral lists this transfer RNA (88 nucleotides) under Bacteriophage sp. Its description in RNAcentral is "tRNA-Ser". It matches the Rfam family "tRNA". From Rfam's summary of the family: Transfer RNA (tRNA) molecules are approximately 80 nucleotides in length. Their secondary structure includes four short double-helical elements and three loops (D, anti-codon, and T loops). The record is from RNAcentral.